GCGUGAGUGAUGAAGGCCCUAGGGUUGUAAAGCUCUUUUGUCAGGGAAGAUGAUGACGGUACCUGAAGAAUAAGCACCGGCUAACUUCGUGCCAGCAGCCGCGGUAAUACGAAGGGUGCUAGCGUUGUUCGGAAUUACUGGGCGUAAAGCGCGCGUAGGCGGCGAUACAAGUCAGGGGUGAAAUCCCGGGGCUCAACCCCGGAAUUGCCUUUGAAACUGUAUUGCUUGAGUGUCGGAGGGGAUAGCGGAAUUCCUAAUGUAGAGGUGAAAUUCGU
RNAcentral lists this ribosomal RNA (275 nucleotides) under uncultured bacterium. RNAcentral describes it as "partial 16S ribosomal RNA". It matches the Rfam family "Bacterial small subunit ribosomal RNA", at positions 399 to 691 of the family's 1533-position model. The record is from RNAcentral.